AUUAAAGAUAAAUUCUGCCCAAUGAAUAUAUUUAAAUGGCUGCAGUAUUUUAACUGUACAAAGGUAGCAUAAUCAUUAGUCCUUUAAUUAAGGACUGGUAUGAAUGAAUAAAUGAGGUUUUUAUUUUAUUAAAUAUUUCAAUUAAAAUUUAAUUUUUUGGUAAAAAAUCCAAAUUAAAUUUUUGGGACGAAAAGACCCUAUAGAACUUUAUUUUAAUUAAUAAUUAAUAUUAUUAUAAUUAAUAACUAUUAAUUAAAAUUUUGUUGGGGUGACAAAUAAAUUUAAACUUUAUUUUAUUUAAUCAUAAAUUUAUGAAUACUAUUAAUUUUUAUAAAAAAGAAUAAGUUACCUUAGGGAUAACAGCGUAAUUAAAAUGGAGAGUUCUUAUCAAUAUUUUUAUUUGCGACCUCGAUGUUGAAUUAAGAUUUAUUAUAGGGGUAGAUUUUUAUAAAUAGAGUCUGUUCGACUUUU
This 471-nucleotide ribosomal RNA is filed under the name Anaka burmensis. RNAcentral's name for it is "partial 16S ribosomal RNA". It matches the Rfam family "Bacterial large subunit ribosomal RNA", at positions 1845 to 2589 of the family's 2925-position model. Lineage: Eukaryota; Metazoa; Arthropoda; Insecta; Hemiptera; Cicadellidae. The record is from RNAcentral.